Molecule: long non-coding RNA, 465 nt
Filed under: Mytilus galloprovincialis (Mediterranean mussel)
Lineage: Eukaryota; Metazoa; Mollusca; Bivalvia; Mytilida; Mytilidae
Source: RNAcentral
CUUUCUUCCUUUCUCCCGUGAUACAAUCUCGCAUAUAUCUGGUUUACCGUCAAACCGAGCACAUGUCUGCGGUUAUUUAUGUCACUAGGUUGUCUUUCUUAUUGACGUUUACCCCAUAUUUUCAUAUUGAACCACACUGCACACGUAUAUGUUUUAGAAUAUGAAGUUAAGGUUUCAUGUUAUGCAUAAUAAGUACCUCAAAUUAUUUAACUGAAAAAAGAGGUAGGGCCAAUUUGCCGGGAAUUUUUUUCACAGAAGGGCCAAUUUCAAAAAGUGCCGUCAGAAUAAAAUUUACUAUAAAAACAAAAAAUCUUUUUGAUCAAUAUCUCGAUUUACAUAUAUUAUGAUAUGUGUGAUCAAUAGUUAAUUUAACCCUCAAAAAGGACGAAAGUUCAAUAUGCGGAAUUUCGGGUGUUUUUAGGUGGGAAAAACAGGGAAUUCCCCCAGGAGGACAUUUCAAACCCC